AAUAAAUUAGAUUUUAUUUGCUUUUUGACGUGAUAUUAUGUCUGAAAUUAUUGUCCUAAGGUUGAGAUGGGAGCAAUAGUGUUGAAGCGGAACCUUUGUUUAGGGGGCGUUACUUCCGGGUUGGUUUUGGGGCGGACUUCCUGUUAGCCUCAGACGCAAAUGUGAAUGCUAAAAGUAGUACUUCAGUUGUGAUUGUUGAAUUUUAUUUCAUUAUUCUUCAUGUUAGUACAGUGAAAACACACCAAAACUACUCUGUACGAGUUUACUUCUUAUUUUUUUAUAAGGAAAUAACACUGCGUUGCAGUUCCUGUGCACCGUUCUGCUAGUAGUUGUAAGUUUUUUCAGCAGACGUUUAGAUCGGCAGGAUGCCAACCCGUGCUGGGGAUGUCCCGUGGGGUUACGUGAAGACCUUACUCCUGUUUUUAGGAGUUUUUUCCUAGCCUCCCCUCCCUCGGCUUAAUUUAUGACCUGUGAGGAGGAACCCAGGGAGUGAGAAGUGAGUGAGACUGGUUUGAAAGCCGUGAAUAGGGAAGGGGGCAACAGGCCCUCCAAAUAACACAAAGGAGGCAACCACAGCUGUUUGGAGGCAACACAAGCCUCCGCAAGACGCUGUCUUCUUCCAGACCUACACCCGUGCUGACUUUGCAAGCAGCAUGCUUGUGUUUGAAAGCUGUAACUUCACUUCUUGUAGGUGAGAACUAAUACACUUUGAAGUUCAAAUGUGUGGAGACAGAAAAAGUGUCUGUCUGCAAGAAAACAUUUUCUGUCUUGAACGAAUGGAAAAUCAUGUUGUGGCAACAAAGCAAAAAAAAAAAAAAAAUCUUUAUUUAAAAGAAAAUGUUAUAGUAGGACAGCUAAAGUUCAAUCCAAAAUUUAGGGCAAGAAAUGAGUUUGAUGUUUUCAAUUCAAUACUGUCAGGAAGUUUGGGUCAACAGAAGUUCACCUUCCACUGCAUAACUCUGAAGUGUAUUUUGAAUGUCUGUGUCUUUCUGUUUGACUUUAUUUACAGUGGCUUGCAAAGUAUUCAUACUUAUUGAACUUGUCACAUUUUGUAAAAUUAAAACCAGAAACUAUGAGGCAUUUUGUUGAGAUCUCAUGUAAUAGGCCAAGACAGAGGCAUAAUUAACAGGGAGAAAACUGACACAUGGUUGUCAGACGAUAGUAAUUCUUAAGAUUUUUGGAGGUUUUUUUUUAUUUUUAUUUUUUACAAAUAAUCUAAGAAGUGUAUUUAGUCCCUCAAUACCAUACUUUUCAUUUCAAUAUCAGUCUUUUGGGAGAUGUUUCCACCAGCUGUGCACAUCUAGAGACAUGUUUUGCAUGCCCAAUUGCAAAACAAGUCAACACAUGAAUAUUUUCGGAUCUAAAUCAUUACAAUGGAGCUUGGAGGUUGUUGCCAAACUGGAAGGUGAACCUUCACCACAGUCUUAAGUCUUAAGUUUUAUCCACCUUCACAUAAAACCUGACCAGCUUCUGUCUUUGAGGAAGAAUACUCCCUACAGCAGAUGCUUUUUUGUUAAAAAAAAAAAAAAAACGUUUACAUUUCAUUCAACCAAUUCACCUUCUUCCACAUGUCUGCUGUGUCUCUUACCUGGGCAGUUUCUUUUAGAAUAAUUACUUAUAAUUGUUGUCCUGUCAACAGAUUCCUUCAUCUGAGCAGUGGGUCUCUUAAAUUCUUCCUGAGUUUCUGUGGAUAUGUUGCCUGCUUCUCUUAUGAAUGUUUGCCUUGCCCAAUCCAGUCGGUCAGUUUUAGUUGGUGUACACGUCUUGGUAAGUUUGGAGUUUUAUCAUACUCUUUUCACUUUGAGAUGAUGAAUUAACAGGCACUCUGGAAAAUAUUGAAAGCUUAUGAUUUUAUAAUGUAACACCUCUUUAAACCGCUCCACAAUUUUAUUAAUUACAUAUCUGCUGUAGACCUUGGUCUCCAUUUUGUGGUUUAUACAGAAUUGUUUUCUUACAAUAUUGAAUAAGAGAAAAAUAUUCCUAGACUCUCAAAUGGCAAAGAGAGUCUAGUAUUUGCUAGACUAGACUCUCUGCCUUAGUAAAGGGGGCUGAAAAAAUUAUGCAUUACUUUUAUGAUCUUUAUCUGUAAAAAUAAAAAGCUCAAACCAUGCAUCAUUUUUCUCAGGCUUAAUAAUUGUCUAUGACUUUGUUUUGUUUUUUAAUAGACAUGACAAAGUAUGAAAAUCUUUAAAGGGCAUCAAUACAUUUUCAAGCUACUUAUGCAGCUAUUAGGCUGCCAUUAUGUCCACCUUGUGUUGACAGAUUUUUUUGCGUCUAUGUGCAAAGGUCAAUCAAAAUUACUUAGGUAGAUGCAAAUAAUUAGUAUGGUUUUGAAUGCAAAUCCCUGAAAACAAAACAAAACAAAACAAAAAAAAAC
Poecilia latipinna (sailfin molly) is the source of this 2377-nucleotide long non-coding RNA. RefSeq lists it as uncharacterized. NCBI's taxonomy places the organism in Eukaryota, Metazoa, Chordata, Actinopteri, Cyprinodontiformes, Poeciliidae. The transcript is spliced from 2 exons. The record is from RefSeq and is a predicted model, not a curated record.